RNAcentral lists this ribosomal RNA (527 nucleotides) under Bifidobacterium pseudocatenulatum. RNAcentral's name for it is "bacterial SSU rRNA". It matches the Rfam family "Bacterial small subunit ribosomal RNA", at positions 157 to 697 of the family's 1533-position model. Lineage: Bacteria; Bacillati; Actinomycetota; Actinomycetes; Bifidobacteriales; Bifidobacteriaceae. The record is from RNAcentral.
CGGGUGGUAAUGCCGGAUGCUCCGACUCCUCGCAUGGGGUGUCGGGAAAGAUUCAUCGGUAUGGGAUGGGGUCGCGUCCUAUCAGGUAGUCGGCGGGGUAACGGCCCACCGAGCCUACGACGGGUAGCCGGCCUGAGAGGGCGACCGGCCACAUUGGGACUGAGAUACGGCCCAGACUCCUACGGGAGGCAGCAGUGGGGAAUAUUGCACAAUGGGCGCAAGCCUGAUGCAGCGACGCCGCGUGCGGGAUGACGGCCUUCGGGUUGUAAACCGCUUUUGAUCGGGAGCAAGCCUUCGGGUGAGUGUACCUUUCGAAUAAGCACCGGCUAACUACGUGCCAGCAGCCGCGGUAAUACGUAGGGUGCAAGCGUUAUCCGGAAUUAUUGGGCGUAAAGGGCUCGUAGGCGGUUCGUCGCGUCCGGUGUGAAAGUCCAUCGCUUAACGGUGGAUCUGCGCCGGGUACGGGCGGGCUGGAGUGCGGUAGGGGAGACUGGAAUUCCCGGUGUAACGGUGGAAUGUGUAGAUAU